RNAcentral lists this transfer RNA (76 nucleotides) under Spinactinospora alkalitolerans. RNAcentral describes it as "tRNA-Arg". It matches the Rfam family "tRNA". From Rfam's summary of the family: Transfer RNA (tRNA) molecules are approximately 80 nucleotides in length. Lineage: Bacteria; Bacillati; Actinomycetota; Actinomycetes; Streptosporangiales; Nocardiopsidaceae. The record is from RNAcentral. RNAcentral also lists the same sequence under 2 other names.
GGCCUCAUAGCUCAGGGGACAGAGCACCGCUCUCCUAAAGCGGGUGUCGCAGGUUCGAAUCCUGCUGGGGCCACCA